This is a long non-coding RNA of Impatiens glandulifera, 202 nucleotides long. RefSeq lists it as uncharacterized. The record is from RefSeq and is a predicted model, not a curated record. Lineage: Eukaryota; Viridiplantae; Streptophyta; Magnoliopsida; Ericales; Balsaminaceae. The transcript has 2 exons.
ACUCAUCAGAUUUUUAUCCUCAUCUCCAAUAGAUCUUCAUUAGUUCAGCAACCGAUUCUUCUUUAUUUGCUUAGAAGACCCAUCAUUAUCAUCGUCAACAGAUCAUCUUCAUCAUCAUUUCAUUUGAUUUAAAGGAAGGAGGAAGAGAAAACAGAGAAUGAAGGAAUAUGGAUUAUUUGGUUUUGGAUAAACUUGAAGAUGA